Long non-coding RNA from Cygnus olor (mute swan), 1703 nucleotides. RefSeq lists it as uncharacterized. NCBI's taxonomy places the organism in Eukaryota, Metazoa, Chordata, Aves, Anseriformes, Anatidae. The transcript has 4 exons. The record is from RefSeq and is a predicted model, not a curated record.
GAACUAGAAAAUAAGUUCGGUAAGUUUGCAAAAAUAGUGCUGUAGAAUCGAAUAGUAUUAGAUUCAUUAAUAACCUCAUAAGGAGGAGCGUGCACUGUAAUUAAUGCUUGUUGCUGUAUAUACGUAGAUCAAAUGGGACGAAUUUGACUGAUAUUUGGGGGGAAAAAAAAAGUAUAUUGAGGGGGGUGGGGGGGAAAGAUCCUACAUAGAGUAGCUCAAGGUGACAGUUCCUGGGCAUUUAGAAACAUUUGGGAGAAACUAACUUCGUGGUUACCUGAACAGAAUUGGCUCAAACAACUGUUUGUUGGCAUUGUAAAAAUAAUGGCAUUGUACACCUACCGUCCCCCGUGACAUCUGAAGAAGACUAUUGCGCCUUAAUGUUGGAAAAACUCAAGAGUGCGGUAUGUGAAGAGGUGCAAAAACAACAGUAGGAGUAAGGAAAGAAGAGGGGGGAAUUGCGAGAAACUAAGUUGUGUUUUUGCAGCGGAGAACUAAUUUUCUGUAUUCCGAGGUAGUUGUGUAGCCAUAAUAAGGAGAAAUGCUACGUGGGUAAGUGGACAGUGGAAGGCCUCACUGUUCCAAAAUAAGGCAGAAGCUUGAGGAAAAACGGGUCGAGCAGUGUGGGAACAGCAAAACAAAGAUCACAGGUUCUUGAAACAUAAGAAAGGCGGAAAAAAAGAAAAUAAGAAGGGAGAAAUUAAAGGGUUGAAAAAGAAGUAAAAUUGUACAUAUAUGGUGUAGAGGAGCGUCGAGUAGCUUGUGAACCUGUAGUGCUCGGCCAAGGAGGAAACAGGGGAGGUGACCAGGUGUCGGGGAAUAGGGAAUAAACGUUGAUGCUUUGCUUACUGUAACGCGCUCCUAAUUGGCAGGACGCCCGCCACUGCAACCGCGAAUAAAACAGCCUCACAGAAGAUCGUGUGUGAAGAAAAUGAUUUGAGAUGUUUCUCGCAGAUACACCUGGGAAGCGGCGCAGUGAUUGGCUGGAGCCUGAGGGCGGAAGUGGCGUCCGGACAUGCCUUCCCUGAGGGCGGAAGCGCUCCGUGAUUGGCUCGGAGGAACCCAGGGCGGAAGUGCCGUGCAGGGCUUGCCGGCACUAUGGGCGGAGGCUGCGGGGCCGGACCGGGCUCGGGCCGGCGAGGCGCGGUGCAGCAACGAGCAAACUGUGUAUGAUCCCAGGAGCAAAGGCACAGUCUUGUGUAGCAUUGUCAUUCUGCCCCACCGCUCUGAUAUCUAACAAAGUAAUACAUUCUGGAUGUUGUCUACAAAUUCUUUCCUUCUUUAUGUAAGAGGUCGAUGCCCGUCGCCUAGUUUGUCACAGAGCGUCACUGAAGUGCUGUUUUAUUUGUAUUUGUGAAGACAGCAGAAUCAAAGACAGCAGGUCAGUGACUCCCACCGAGAUGGUCAUUAAGAUAAAACAGUGAAGUUUCUAGCAUAUAUUAAAAAGCCUGGAGGAAUUAGCAUAGCUUGCAGCAAAGUGUGCUGGAAAGAGAUGAUAUUUGAGAGCAAGCAUGAAAAUGUCGUCUUUUUACCGAGAAUGAUGAGAACUGAUGCAUCUGCCCUGCGUUUGGAUAGAAGAUGCCCUGGAUUUAAAGACGGUGUGUAGUAAAUGAAGUAUGAGAAGAAACAGCUUCUUCGGACACUUGCGCUCCUCUUCUUCAGCUCGUGGAGAAGGCUGACAGCCUGUCUCACUCUCGUCAGUGCUA